Molecule: transfer RNA, 65 nt
Filed under: Melioribacter roseus P3M-2
Lineage: Bacteria; Pseudomonadati; Ignavibacteriota; Ignavibacteria; Ignavibacteriales; Melioribacteraceae
Description: tRNA-Sup (TCA) (tRNA-Sup-TCA-1-1)
Rfam family: tRNA
About the family: Transfer RNA (tRNA) molecules are approximately 80 nucleotides in length.
Source: RNAcentral
AGCCCGGUUAGCGCGUGGCGCCUCAGGCGCCAAGGUCGAGAGUUCGAAUCUCUCCACCCCGACCA